GACGAACGCUGGCGGCGUGCCUAACACAUGCAAGUCGAACGAACAGGCCGUGGUUAUGGGCGGAGGGCGGAUGGACACCGGGGAACUUACCCGUAGGUUCCGAGUAACUCACGUUAGGUUAUGCUAAUGCCGAUUGGGCCCUUCGCGGGUAGGAUUUAUCGCUGUUGGAUCGGCCCGCGUCUGAUUAGGUGGUUGGUUAAGGUAAUGGCUCAUCAAGGCGACGAUCAGUAGCUGUUCUGUGAGGAUGAUCAGCCACAUUGGGACUGAGACACGGCCCAAACUCCUACGGGAGGCAGCAGUGGGGAAUCUUGCGCAAUGGGCGAAAGCCUGACGCAGCCAUGCCGCGUGAAUGAUGAAGGUCUUAGGAUUGUAAAAUUCUUUCACCGGGGACGAUAAUGACGGUACCCGGUGAAGAAGCCCCGGCUAACUUCGUG
Molecule: ribosomal RNA, 434 nt
Filed under: uncultured bacterium
Lineage: Bacteria
Description: partial 16S ribosomal RNA
Rfam family: Bacterial small subunit ribosomal RNA
Source: RNAcentral